UGCGGCCUGGUGCGAGUAGUGACGAAGGCGGCUUGUUGCGGACUGGUAGUGGCGAUGCUAGGGUUUGGAAACGUCAAUGGAGGAUUUGCGAUGAUGGCUGAAGAUGACGGCGAUUUGUGGUUUUGAUGGUGGUGGCCAUGGUGACUCGCGACUGACGUUGAGGUUGAGGUGGUGGAGAUAGGGUUUGACGGUGCUAGGAUGGACGUUAUGUUGGGAUAAACUUAAAUUUUAGAGAUUUAUUAUUUUAUUAGUUUU
This 255-nucleotide long non-coding RNA is filed under the name Vigna radiata. RNAcentral describes it as "long non-coding RNA (VRAD_LNC000538)". The record is from RNAcentral. Lineage: Eukaryota; Viridiplantae; Streptophyta; Magnoliopsida; Fabales; Fabaceae.